Capsicum annuum is the source of this 731-nucleotide long non-coding RNA. RefSeq lists it as uncharacterized. Lineage: Eukaryota; Viridiplantae; Streptophyta; Magnoliopsida; Solanales; Solanaceae. The record is from RefSeq and is a predicted model, not a curated record. The transcript has 2 exons.
GGCUUCGUGCUCUGAGGAAUGGCUCCAGGCUUUAGUAAACGUCUUUUGUGAAUCAUCUCCUGCAAAGUAUUAGCAGUUCAAGGUUGGUUUAAUACAUCAUAAAAGUGGGAAGUUGAUUUACAAGAGCAUUGGUAUAAAUUAGCCAAAAAGUUGUCAGACACCAGCUUUUCUUGGUUAAUCAAGGGUACAUAAGCUGAUUUAACCUAUAAAUUUGAGUAAGCUCUCCAGGUUAUGUUCAUUAUCAUGCUUUAAGGAAAACUUGUGUCGAUUCAAUUAUUCAAGAAAGGAUCUUCUUUGCUGUCAAGUGUUAACAUUUAUCUUUCUCUCUUUAAUGUUUCCUCCGUGCUAAGCAACAUGGAUUUGAGGGAUUAUAGAUAACAUUGACUUUGAACACUUUCAAUCAUCAAUAUGCCGUAAAUUGGAUUCCGAUAGGCUUUCACAGGCAUUCCAACGGGUGCCCUGACUUAUAGUUUCAUCCAAACAUUGGAGCAAGAGACUAAAUUGGCGUAUGAACGCUUACUCAUGAGUAUGCAGAAUAAGAUUCAUGAAGCAAAGACUUAGCUCUUCCCGAAAAAAGUAAAAAGGGCAAGGAAAAGUUACUUCUGCAAGGAAAAGUUACUUCUAGGAGCAGUUCUUUCAGGAAUGCCUUUUCUGCCAUUCUUUGUUUGGUUUCAUCCUUAUUUUUUCCAGGAACACUAUGAUAGUAGUCUUACGAAAAAAUUAACGCUCUA